Molecule: long non-coding RNA, 633 nt
Organism: Homo sapiens (human)
Lineage: Eukaryota; Metazoa; Chordata; Mammalia; Primates; Hominidae
Exons: 2
Source: RefSeq, a predicted model, not a curated record
UCCACUCACAGAAGGGCUUUCACAGCUGCUAUUCAGCAUGGUCAGCCAAGAGAAGGCAUGGAGUCUUACUGAGUGUCUAUUACAGACAGCACGCUUCACAGAUAAUGUCUUCUUAAAGCCUAUCAGCUAAAGCCUACUAGCAAUACACACGCAGCCGAAGUUGAGGUUAUUAGCUUGUUGCAGCAAGAGAGCACAUAUACAAGAGGAAUCAUGGAAAGCGAAAAGGUGUCAGAUGUGUACCGUGUUCUGAAGACUCUCCCCACCUUCUCCAGCACCCUCCCCCUUUGUCCUUCACAGGCAUUUCCUCCAAUCAGUCUUUCGUCUUCUGCUUCAUGGAAGACCUGACGGACACAGACAACUCAUCUUUACAUCCUCCAUGCCUGGGACAUUGGCAGGGAUUCUGCAGCAGUGAUGAAGAGCAUGGACACAAAUCAUAACCCGGGACUUGUUCCAUGGGUAGCCUUGAGAGCAGGUGACUUCAACCUCUCUGAAACCGAGUUUGAGGUCCUCAUCUAUUAAGUGGUAUUGAUAUUAAUAGCUAUGUCUUACGGCUGUUUGAGAAUGAAUAAGUUAAUGCAUGAAUACGUUUAGCACAGUGCUUAAAAAUCACAAUAAAUAUCUAAUACAAUAUAA